RNAcentral lists this ribosomal RNA (1233 nucleotides) under human gut metagenome. RNAcentral's name for it is "bacterial LSU rRNA". It matches the Rfam family "Bacterial large subunit ribosomal RNA", at positions 1127 to 2387 of the family's 2925-position model. The record is from RNAcentral.
AGAGUGCGUAAUAGCUCACUAGUCGAGAGGUCCUGCGCCGAAAAUGUCCGGGGCUGAAACACGACACCGAAGCUUAGGAAUCGCAUAGUGAUUGGUAGAGGAGCAUUCUUAAAACCGACGAAGCUGUACCGGAAGGAGCAGUGGAGGGAUAAGAAGAGAGAAUGCCGGAAUGAGUAGCGAGAGAGAGGUGGGAAUCCUCUCGGCCGAAUAUCCAAGGUUUCCAGGGUAAAGCUGAUCUGCCCUGGGUAAGUCGGGGCCUAAGGAGAGGCAGAAAUGCGUAUCCGAUGGACAGCAGGUUGAGAUUCCUGCACUAUCUUAAAACAGAACUGUGGGGACAUUUGUGGAGAGCACAGGCGCGGAACGGAAAGCCGCGUGCAAGCGAAGGAGGAGUCACAUAGGAAAAACCGUGUGGCAAUCCAAAGGCGUGAUGCGGACCGAACUAAAGUAGGGAAGUGUGUGAGCCAUGAAUCAAGAAAAGCCGCUAUUGUUUUUAAGAUACCCGUACCGUAAACCGACACAGGUGGAUGAGGAGAGAAUCCUAAGGCCGGCGGAAGAAGCAUUGUUAAGGAACUCGGCAAAAUGACCCCGUAACUUCGGGAGAAGGGGUGCCAACGAGAGUUGGCCGCAGAGAAUAGGCUCAAGCAACUGUUUAGCAAAAACACAGGUCUAUGCAAAACCGUAAGGUGAGGUAUAUGGGCUGACGCCUGCCCGGUGCUGGAAGGUUAAGAGGAGAGGUUAGCGCAAGCGAAGCUUUGAAUUUAAGCCCCAGUAAACGGCGGCCGUAACUAUAACGGUCCUAAGGUAGCGAAAUUCCUUGUCGGGUAAGUUCCGACCCGCACGAAAGGCGUAAUGAUUUGAGCGCUGUCUCGACAAUGCAUCCGGUGAAAUUGAAGUACCAGUGAAGAUGCUGGUUACCCGCGCCAGGACGGAAAGACCCCAUGGAGCUUUACUCCAGUUUGGUACUGGGGUCCGGCAGUGCAUGUACAGGAUAGGUGGGAGGCUGUGAACCUGGAACGCCAGUUUCAGGGGAGCCAUUGUUGGGAUACCACCCUUGUGCUGCUGGGCUUCUAACCAGCGGCCUUUAUCAGGCCGGGGGACAAUGCCAGACGGGGAGUUUGACUGGGGCGGUCGCCUCCGAAAGGGUAUCGGAGGCGCCCAAAGGUUCCCUCAGAAUGGACGGAAACCAUUCGAAGAGUGCAAAGGCAGAAGGGAGCUUGACUGCGACACCGACGG